Molecule: ribosomal RNA, 473 nt
Filed under: uncultured bacterium
Lineage: Bacteria
Description: bacterial SSU rRNA
Rfam family: Bacterial small subunit ribosomal RNA
Source: RNAcentral
CUACGCACUCCUACGGGAGGCAGCAGUGGGGAAUAUUGCACAAUGGGCGCAAGCCUGAUGCAGCCAUGCCGCGUGUAUGAAGAAGGCCUUCGGGUUGUAAAGUACUUUCAGCAGUGAGGAAGGUGGGUAUGUUAAUAGUCAUAUUCAUUUGACGUUAGCUGCAGAAGAAGCACCGGCUAACUCCGUGCCAGCAGCCGCGGUAAUACGGAGGGUGCGAGCGUUAAUCGGAAUUACUGGGCGUAAAGCGCAUGCAGGUGGUUUGUUAAGUCAGAUGUGAAAGCCCGGGGCUCAACCUCGGAAUUGCAUUUGAAACUGGCAAACUAGAGUACUGUAGAGGGGGUAGAAUUUCAGGUGUAGCGGUGAAAUGCGUAGAGAUCUGAAGGAAUACCGGUGGCGAAGGCGGCCCCCCUGGACAGAUACUGACACUCAGAUGCGAAAGCGUGGGGAGCAAACAGGAUUAGAUACCCUGGUAG